This 851-nucleotide long non-coding RNA is filed under the name Androctonus crassicauda. Lineage: Eukaryota; Metazoa; Arthropoda; Arachnida; Scorpiones; Buthidae. The record is from RNAcentral.
UAUACUUUUUUCUAGCACCUUAUAUUUUAUCAUGUUUAUAUUUUUGUAUAAUUAUCUUGAAUUUUGCAAAAAAUAUAGUCUAAAUAUGAUUUUUUACGUGUGUAAUUUUUUGAAUUUGCCAUUUUUAUAUUUUGUUGUAUUAUCUGUAUUGUAUUAUCUGUUUUGGAGUAUGUGAUGUCAUUGUAACAUAAUAGUGAUGCCACAAUAAUUCCAACAUACAAUGUAACAAUGAUGUCAUAGUGGCAUUAUACAUGGGAAUUUUUGUUACUUCACAUGCAACAAGAACUUGAUAUUUUGUGAUGUCAUUUCUUGCUAUGCCAUAAUGAUGUCAAGCACUGGUAACAUUCUGGAAUGACAUUAUUGUUACAUUGUAUGUUGGAACUAUUGUGACAUCAUUCCUUCCUUAUGCUUUGCACCAUCAACAACAGUCAGAACAACAGGCUGAAGGAUUUAAAAAUAUACUUUAUUAAAUUAUGUACCCAAAAUGCCCAUUCCAGGAUGAUUUUGACCUAGUGUAUCCUACGAUUACCUAUGGGAAUUACUCUGCAAAGUUUCGCCCCAAUAGGUCAACUGGUGUGGGAACUUAUGCAGAACAGAUAGAUAGAAAGAACAACCUGAAUGUGCCUUAUCCCCUGAGAGCAAUUUUGAUUUUUGGUACUCUAUAUUACCUAAAGAUUCAUGAGAAGUUGCUCUAGAAAGUUGUUUCAGUAGGUCAAACAGUGCAAAAUCAUAUAUGAAAGACAGACAGACAGCAAACAUUGCAUUUUAUAUGCAUGCACUCCUCUAGUUAUGAACAUUUGUACUUAUGAACAUGAAAUUUCAUUUUCAAAUUUCACAAAAUUUCAAAAAAC